Peromyscus leucopus (white-footed mouse) is the source of this 325-nucleotide long non-coding RNA. RefSeq lists it as uncharacterized. NCBI's taxonomy places the organism in Eukaryota, Metazoa, Chordata, Mammalia, Rodentia, Cricetidae. The record is from RefSeq and is a predicted model, not a curated record. The transcript is spliced from 2 exons.
CCACGUUCCUCGCAUUCUCCCCUCCCUGUUCUUAUCAGCUGAUUGAAACAGAAUGCCAGCGCUGGCUGUGUUAUCCUCUGUCAGCAUUUUGGCGAUUGUUUCCUGUACAACAAAGGGAGAAUGAUAAAAGGCAAAGCUGGCUGCCAGGAGAUGAUCAACUCGGUUCCGGUGCCCCUCUGUUCCAGUGUCUCCCCCCAUGAUACUCCUCAGCACAGGCCCACAGCAAUGGACUGAAUUAUCAAAACCCAUGAACCAAAAGAAAUCUUCCUCACUUAAAUCAUUUCUAUCUGGUAUUUGUCACAGUGAUAAACAUUAGUCAACACAA